CAGAUCACAACUUCAGUUCCUGUGUUUGGAAGGGCACAGGGACCAUCCCCUCCUUAUGAUUGGUGGGACACAAGACACUUCCAAAAAGCCGAAAAAGCAGUGGAUGGAUUAUAUCAAAGAAGAUUGUAAGAAGGUGGACCUUAGCGCUGCCUCAGACAGAAAAAGAUGGCAGAUACUCGCAUGACAGCCUGACCCCAUAUGAUGGGAUAAGGAGAAGACAAAGGAGAUAUUCAUGAAAAAAAAAUCUAUUCACUUUUCUCUUAAAGUGUACAGAACAUUCUAACAGCUGGAACUGAAGGACCUCUGUCUCAUUCUUUCCACAGGCUGCAUGUGCUCUGGGGAUAGAUCAGGAUUGUGGAGUGAAAGGAGGCUGUUGUCCAUAGAACCCCUGCCUCAUUUGUUACACAAGUUGGAAGACUACUUGAAAAUUGCAGAGGGUCUCGGCAGACCACUUAAUGAUCUUUCCAAAUGUUGUUUGUACCAUUAGCCAACUAUUGUAAAGCACUUUGGA
Molecule: long non-coding RNA, 511 nt
Organism: Malaclemys terrapin pileata
Lineage: Eukaryota; Metazoa; Chordata; Testudines; Emydidae
Exons: 4
Source: RefSeq, a predicted model, not a curated record